CCCUUAGAUGUUCUGGGCCGCACGCGCGCUACACUGACGAAUGCAACGAGCUUAUAACCUUGGCCGAAAGGUCUGGGUAAUCUCCAAAUUUCGUCGUGAUGGGGAUAGAUUAUUGCAAUUAUUAAUCUUCAACGAGGAAUGCCUAGUAAGCGCAAGUCAUCAGCUUGCGUUGAUUACGUCCCUGCCCUUUGUACACACCGCCCGUCGCUCCUACCGAUUGAAUGGUCCGGUGAAGCGUUCGGACCGUGGCCUUUGGACGGUUCGCCGUCUGCUGGCUGCGGGAAGUUCGUUAAACCUUAUCAUUUAGAGGAAGGAGAAGUCGUAACA
Molecule: ribosomal RNA, 327 nt
Filed under: uncultured eukaryote
Lineage: Eukaryota
Description: partial 18S ribosomal RNA
Rfam family: Eukaryotic small subunit ribosomal RNA
Source: RNAcentral